This 20-nucleotide transfer RNA is filed under the name Triticum turgidum (rivet wheat). RNAcentral's name for it is "partial tRNA-Leu". RNAcentral also lists the same sequence under 74 other names. The record is from RNAcentral. Lineage: Eukaryota; Viridiplantae; Streptophyta; Magnoliopsida; Poales; Poaceae.
GCCGCCAUGGUGAAAUUGGU